UACGUAGGGUGCGAGCGUUAAUCGGAUUUACUGGGCGUAAAGCGUGCGCAGGCGGCCCGUUAAAACAGGUGUGAAAUCCCUGGGCUCAACCUAGGAAUUGCGCUUGUUACUGGCGGGCUCGAGUACGGUAGAGGGGGGUGGAAUUCCUGGUGUAGCAGUGAAAUGCGUAGAGAUCAGGAGGAACACCGAUGGCGAAGGCAGCCCCCUGGGCCUGUACUGACGCUGAUGCACGAAAGCGUGGGGAGCAAACAGG
RNAcentral lists this ribosomal RNA (253 nucleotides) under uncultured microorganism. Its description in RNAcentral is "partial 16S ribosomal RNA". It matches the Rfam family "Bacterial small subunit ribosomal RNA", at positions 524 to 776 of the family's 1533-position model. The record is from RNAcentral.